RNAcentral lists this ribosomal RNA (1171 nucleotides) under Clostridioides difficile P37. RNAcentral describes it as "bacterial LSU rRNA". It matches the Rfam family "Bacterial large subunit ribosomal RNA", at positions 1738 to 2925 of the family's 2925-position model. Lineage: Bacteria; Bacillati; Bacillota; Clostridia; Peptostreptococcales; Peptostreptococcaceae. The record is from RNAcentral.
GGGAUAAGGGGUGCCACCAUCAGGUGGCCGCAGAGAAUAGGCCCAAGCGACUGUUUACCAAAAACAUAGGUUUCUGCUAAGUCGCAAGACGAUGUAUAGGAGCUGACGCCUGCCCGGUGCUGGAAGGUUAAGGGGAUCUGUUAGAGAAUCGAAGCAGUGAACUUAAGCCCCAGUAAACGGCGGCCGUAACUAUAACGGUCCUAAGGUAGCGAAAUUCCUUGUCGGGUAAGUUCCGACCCGCACGAAAGGCGUAACGAUUUGGGCACUGUCUCAACAACAGACUCGGUGAAAUUGUAAUUCCGGUGAAGAUGCCGGAUACCUGCGACAGGACGGAAAGACCCCAUGGAGCUUUACUGUAGCUUGACAUUGGGUCUUGGUACUACAUGUACAGGAUAGGUGGGAGGCUUUGAAACCAGGACGCCAGUUUUGGCGGAGCCAUCCUUGGGAUACCACCCUUGUAGUACUGGGACUCUAACCAUAGGCCAUGAAUCUGGUCUUGGGACACUGUCAGGUGGGCAGUUUGACUGGGGCGGUCGCCUCCCAAAAGGUAACGGAGGCGCUCAAAGGUUCUCUCAGUACGGUCGGAAAUCGUACGUAGAGUGUAAAGGCAAAAGAGAGCUUGAUUGCAAGACAUACAGGUCGAGCAAGGAUGAAAAUCGGACUUAGUGAUCCGGUGGUUCUGCGUGGAAGGGCCAUCGCUCAACGGAUAAAAGCUACCCUGGGGAUAACAGGCUUAUCUCCCCCAAGAGUCCACAUCGACGGGGAGGUUUGGCACCUCGAUGUCGGCUCAUCACAUCCUGGGGCUGUAGUAGGUCCCAAGGGUUGGGCUGUUCGCCCAUUAAAGUGGUACGCGAGCUGGGUUCAGAACGUCGUGAGACAGUUCGGUCCCUAUCCGUCGCAGGCGUAGGAAAUUUGAGAAGACCUGUCCUUAGUACGAGAGGACCGGGAUGGACGUACCUCUGGUGUACCAGUUGUUCUGCCAAGGGCAUGGCUGGGUAGCUAUGUACGGAAUGGAUAAGCGCUGAAAGCAUCUAAGCGCGAAGCCAACUUCAAGAUAAGAUUUCCCACCGCAAGGGUAAGACCCCAGAAAGACUAUCUGGUUGAUAGGUCGAAGGUGUAAGUGCAGCAAUGUAUUUAGCUUAUCGAUACUAAUAGGUCGAGGACUUGACCA